GUGCCAGCAGCCGCGGUAAUACGUAGGUGGCAAGCGUUAUCCGGAAUUAUUGGGCGUAAAGCGCGCGUAGGCGGUUUUUAAGCCUGAUGUGAAAGCCCACGGCUCAACCGUGGAGGGUCAUUGGAAACUGGAAAACUUGAGUGCAGAAGAGGAAAGUGGAAUUCCAUGUGUAGCGGUGAAAUGCGCAGAGAUAUGGAGGAACACCAGUGGCGAAGGCGACUUUCUGGUCUGUAACUGACGCUGAUGUGCGAAAGCGUGGGGAUCAAACAGGAUUAGAUA
This 279-nucleotide ribosomal RNA is filed under the name uncultured Staphylococcus sp. RNAcentral's name for it is "partial 16S ribosomal RNA". It matches the Rfam family "Bacterial small subunit ribosomal RNA", at positions 505 to 784 of the family's 1533-position model. The record is from RNAcentral. Lineage: Bacteria; Bacillati; Bacillota; Bacilli; Caryophanales; Staphylococcaceae.